This 777-nucleotide ribosomal RNA is filed under the name Bacillus safensis. RNAcentral's name for it is "bacterial SSU rRNA". It matches the Rfam family "Bacterial small subunit ribosomal RNA", at positions 56 to 815 of the family's 1533-position model. Lineage: Bacteria; Bacillati; Bacillota; Bacilli; Caryophanales; Bacillaceae. The record is from RNAcentral.
UGCAAGUCGAGCGAGACAGAAGGGAGCUUGCUCCCGGAUGUUAGCGGCGGACGGGUGAGUAACACGUGGGUAACCUGCCUGUAAGACUGGGAUAACUCCGGGAAACCGGAGCUAAUACCGGAUAGUUCCUUGAACCGCAUGGUUCAAGGAUGAAAGACGGUUUCGGCUGUCACUUACAGAUGGACCCGCGGCGCAUUAGCUAGUUGGUGGGGUAAUGGCUCACCAAGGCGACGAUGCGUAGCCGACCUGAGAGGGUGAUCGGCCACACUGGGACUGAGACACGGCCCAGACUCCUACGGGAGGCAGCAGUAGGGAAUCUUCCGCAAUGGACGAAAGUCUGACGGAGCAACGCCGCGUGAGUGAUGAAGGUUUUCGGAUCGUAAAGCUCUGUUGUUAGGGAAGAACAAGUGCGAGAGUAACUGCUCGCACCUUGACGGUACCUAACCAGAAAGCCACGGCUAACUACGUGCCAGCAGCCGCGGUAAUACGUAGGUGGCAAGCGUUGUCCGGAAUUAUUGGGCGUAAAGGGCUCGCAGGCGGUUUCUUAAGUCUGAUGUGAAAGCCCCCGGCUCAACCGGGGAGGGUCAUUGGAAACUGGGAAACUUGAGUGCAGAAGAGGAGAGUGGAAUUCCACGUGUAGCGGUGAAAUGCGUAGAGAUGUGGAGGAACACCAGUGGCGAAGGCGACUCUCUGGUCUGUAACUGACGCUGAGGAGCGAAAGCGUGGGGAGCGAACAGGAUUAGAUACCCUGGUAGUCCACGCCGUAAACGAUGAGUG